Molecule: non-coding RNA, 482 nt
Organism: Nothobranchius furzeri (turquoise killifish)
Lineage: Eukaryota; Metazoa; Chordata; Actinopteri; Cyprinodontiformes; Nothobranchiidae
Source: RefSeq, a predicted model, not a curated record
UCAGUUGGUCAUAAAACAUUUGUUUCAUCUCCACAGCAUUCCGGAGGAGAUUUUGUCAGACCAUGGUUUCCAGUUUGUGGCACGGGUCUGGAAGGACUACGCUGAAACCCUGGGGGCUUGUGUCGCGCUCACAUCUGGCCACCAUCCUCAGACUAACGGCCAGUGUGAGCGCAUGAAUCAAGAACUGGGGGCGAUGCUUCGUUGUGUGUGCUCCACCCAUCCUACAACAUGGAGCUCUCAUCUCGCCUGGGUGGAGUACACCCAUAAUAGUCACACAUCCACAGCCACAGGAGAGGGAGUGCCCAGCUGUUCCUGAUCAGCAAUCAGCGGGGUGUUUCCUACUUAAGGUGGAUGGAGGACACAAUUCAACGCCAGAAGAUUGCCUCAGCUUGGAUUCCUGUGUUUUUUCUCUGGUCGCAAAGCUUUGGAUACUUACCUCAGGACUCCAGGAUUUUGGAUACUCAGAACACCGAACCACUCAC